Molecule: small nuclear RNA, 80 nt
Filed under: Sorex araneus (European shrew)
Lineage: Eukaryota; Metazoa; Chordata; Mammalia; Eulipotyphla; Soricidae
Description: U4 spliceosomal RNA (ENSSARG00000016593.1)
Rfam family: U4 spliceosomal RNA
About the family: U4 small nuclear RNA (U4 snRNA) is a component of the major U2-dependent spliceosome. The structure of U4 snRNA from yeast and human has been reported.
Source: RNAcentral
AGUUUUGUGCAGUGGCAGUAUCAUAGCCAAUGAGGUUUAUCAGAGGCAUGAUUAUUGCUAAUUGAAAUAAACUAGAAAAA